AGAGAGAGACAUGCGCGCAUAUCAAUAAGCGGAGGAAAAGAAACUAACAAGGAUUCCCCUAGUAACGGCGAGUGAAGCGGGAAGAGCUCAAAUUUGAAAUCUUAAAGGGUUUCCCUUUACGAAUUGUAGUUUAAAGAAGUGUUUUCUGUUGAGGUUUUGGUAAAAGUUCUUUGGAAUAGGACAUCAUAGAGGGUGAGAAUCCCGUAUUUGACCUUUACUUUCAACUUUGUGAUACACUUUCAAAGAGUCGGAUUGUUUGGGAAUGCAGUCCAAAAUGGGUGGUAAAUUUCAUCUAAAGCUAAAUAUUGGCGAGAGACCGAUAGCGAACAAGUACCGUGAGGGAAAGAUGAAAAGAACUUUGAAAAGAGAGUUAAACAGUACGUGAAAUUGUCAAAAGGGAAGCGUUUGACACCAGUGUUGUUUUUCUGAAAAUCAAUUAAAGAACUGUUUAUGCUAAGUUGUUUAGACCUUAUCAGCUAACUGUUUAGUUUUGAGCUUUUCUUUAAUGCACUUUUCAGUUAACAAGUCAACAUCAAUUUCUUUUGCUGUAAAAAAGCUUGAGGAAGGUGGCUUGAGAUUCGUCUUAAGUGUUUAUAGCCUCUUGCCUAUGCAGUCGGAGAGAUUGAGGUCUGCAGCGUAGAUCCUUCGGGGCUAAAUGCAUUUGUGCUAAGUUAUAGCAUUUUAUAGACAACUUGUUGACUAUGAUUUGUCUUGUAGCUUACUCGCUUAUGUUAUUUUACCUACGCUUAGGAUGUUGAGCGCAUGUCUCUCUCU
RNAcentral lists this ribosomal RNA (774 nucleotides) under uncultured Neocallimastigales. Its description in RNAcentral is "partial large subunit ribosomal RNA". It matches the Rfam family "Eukaryotic large subunit ribosomal RNA", at positions 23 to 616 of the family's 3401-position model. The record is from RNAcentral. Lineage: Eukaryota; Fungi; Neocallimastigomycota; Neocallimastigomycetes; Neocallimastigales.